RNAcentral lists this long non-coding RNA (1555 nucleotides) under Hordeum vulgare. Its description in RNAcentral is "long non-coding RNA (HVUL_LNC009684)". Lineage: Eukaryota; Viridiplantae; Streptophyta; Magnoliopsida; Poales; Poaceae. The record is from RNAcentral.
ACUUGCUUUAAAUACUAAAUCUAUUAGCAAUUAAAAUUGGGAAAAUAUUAGGUUCUGAUUCUGUCAAGUAGUCUAUUCACCCCCCCCUCUAGACAUCCCUUUUAGUGAUCCCACACACCGGUAAACAAAAAAUUAGGGCAACAAAGGUGGAAUAAAACACCAAGCAAGAGGCCAAGCCUUCCAUCCUUUACCAAAUAUAUAUGUGCAUUAAUUAUAUAGCAAAUAUAUCAUGAUAUCCAAAAAUAUCCAUGUUGUCACAUGGAACAAUCUGCACGUGCAACUAGCAACACUAUAAGAAGGGUUGAGCAAGCGGUAACAUAACCAAACAACAGUUUGUUGAGAAGGUGCGGGGUUAGAUGCUUAUCAUGGCACUUUGGGAGACUUGACAAAUAAGUGGUAGGAAGUGAGACAUAUCUAUCGAAGCGAAACAACUAGCAUGGCUAUGAUAGUAGUGGUGUCCACGAAAAUGAUCAUCUUGCGUGAGAUACCGCUUGGAAGAAGAACGAAUCCAUGAAGUAGACGAAUGUGCGUAGUCGAACGAAUCCUCACACUCUAUAUCGGUUCGGAAAUCUAUUGAGAAGAAGCAAUCCAAAAACAAACAAAUGACACGGUAAACAUCACAACAUAUGCAUGACAUAAUGCGCAAACAAAUAUGAUGCAUGUCCCUUUAAUUAUGCAUGGCCUCGUAUAUCACAUCAAACAACUAGCAUAUGGACGAGACUCCACAUUCACUCAUCUAGUUCACUCCCGUUUGUUUACUCGACAAGUUUAAAUGUUUAUUAACAUGGCAAGAGGUGAAUCAUAUGAGAACUAUCCUAUCUACGCAUUUUAAAUGAGGUCGAAACAAUAUAUAACAUUUCUCAAACGACCCCAUAUGCAUAAUAAGAAUUUGGUCCUGUUUUGCAUAACCAAAUUUUAUAUUUAUUAAACAUGAAAAUAAAGAGCAUCAUAGUAUUCUACAUAUUCUUCUAAGCAAGUUACAUAUAUAAAACAUUUUAAUCGGAGUUACGGUUUAAUGGUUACAAAAUAAACCGAUUUAAUAUGACAUUAAUGCAAAUUUAAUCAAACAGAAAGAUUAAAUAUUUGUAACACAUGUGCGAGUUGGAUAUUAUUAACCUACACAAAAUCGUAACAACAUUCAUAUAAAAAUAUAUUUUAAUUCGAUGCAUGGUUGUGAAGUUAUUAAAUGCAUAAUUUAGAGGGAUUUUUUUGUAAAUUUGUAAUUCAGCAGAUAAUUAUGCAAAUUCGUAGACAGAAAAAAAAAUCGGGCCAAAUCUGAGAUCUAGCCUGACAGCAGCUGAGCGCACAAAAGUUAAAUCAUGCCCUCAGCGUUGACACACGAGGUGAACUGGGCUGGAGGGUGCUGCUCACCAUGGGCGAAGCCCGGAUGUGAGAGGAGGUCGGGCGAGGCGAGCUGGGAUGGGGCGGACUGGCGGAGGCGAAGGGCGAGGCUGGAGCGACCCAACCGCGGUCAACGCAGCAAGCGGCGCUGGAGCCCAAGGGCGUUCCUCGUCCUCCUCUGGACAAGAAGCAGCGGCGGCGCUGGACACAGGAC